GAUGAAGAACGCAGCGAAAUGCGAUAAGUAGUGUGAAUUGCAGAAUUCCGUGAAUCAUCGAAUCUUUGAACGCACAUUGCGCCUUCUGGUAUUCCGGAAGGCAUGCCUGUUCGAGAGUCAUUAACAACCGUUUCGAUCCCUUUCUUUCAGAAAUUACAAAGAGGAAACGGGUUUGGUUAUGGUGGAGGAGGGAAAGGGAGCGUUUAGCCUGUAAAAAAAGAGGCUGUGUUCCGCCUCCCCCCCAAAAUUGUACAGGCGGUCGUGUGCGCCCACGCAUCGAGGUGUUGUAAAAGCUGCCACGGCACUUUUCACCUGUGCAGUGCGAGAUUGGCCAGCCGGUUUAAAAACCCCUCCAAACAAUCAAAGGUUGACCUCGGAUCAGGUAGGGAUACCCGCUGAACUUAAGCAUAUCAAUAAGCGGAGGA
RNAcentral lists this unclassified non-coding RNA (425 nucleotides) under soil metagenome. Its description in RNAcentral is "partial contains 5.8S ribosomal RNA, internal transcribed spacer 2, and large subunit ribosomal RNA". The stretch from base 1 to 120 matches the Rfam family "5.8S ribosomal RNA", at positions 35 to 154 of the family's 154-position model. The record is from RNAcentral.